GUCCACAGCCAUACCACCCUGAAUGUGCUCUAUCUUGUCUGAUCUUAGAAGCUAAGCAGGGUCAGUCCUGGUUAAUACUUGGAUGGGAGACCAGGUUAGUAUUUGGAUAGGAAGUUAUAAAGU
Ribosomal RNA from Cricetulus griseus (Chinese hamster), 123 nucleotides. Lineage: Eukaryota; Metazoa; Chordata; Mammalia; Rodentia; Cricetidae. The record is from Ensembl.